GGGCCCGUAGCUCAGCCAGGUGGAGCACCCGGCUCAUAAGCGCGCGCCGCGCGCUGGAACACCGGGGGGUCCCGGGUUCGAAUCCCGGCGGGCCCA
This 96-nucleotide transfer RNA is filed under the name Thermofilum adornatum. RNAcentral's name for it is "Thermofilum adornatus tRNA". It matches the Rfam family "tRNA". Rfam says of the family: Transfer RNA (tRNA) molecules are approximately 80 nucleotides in length. Their secondary structure includes four short double-helical elements and three loops (D, anti-codon, and T loops). Lineage: Archaea; Thermoproteati; Thermoproteota; Thermoprotei; Thermofilales; Thermofilaceae. The record is from Rfam by way of RNAcentral.